RNAcentral lists this long non-coding RNA (2355 nucleotides) under Hordeum vulgare. Its description in RNAcentral is "long non-coding RNA (HVUL_LNC015676)". The record is from RNAcentral. Lineage: Eukaryota; Viridiplantae; Streptophyta; Magnoliopsida; Poales; Poaceae.
UGUUGGCAUAGGUUACAUCAUGUGUCUACCCCCGCUAUAUAUGAGAGGCCUAGGAUUUAAGUGUCCUGUUUGGACACGACUCCAUAUCCUAUCUAAACACAAUACAACUCAGAGUCCAACUGUAACCUACCGUGUACACAAUAUUCGACACAACUCUAACAAACUCCACCUUGGCGAAUACUCUCCACCAUCUUGAAUUCGUCUAUGCGUCAAACUUCCAUGUACAUUGGACUUGAGCUUAUCCAUGAGCACCGCUGCUACUCCAAAGACUCCAUGUGACUCCACCUUCAACUUGUAGUUCCUUCUUUUCCAGACCAUAGUCAACGCUCGAAUGAAAUUAAGCUCCACAUUACUCUAGUUGAGCUCCCAACUUCCAGAGUAUCCAACACCAUCACACACCGAUCACUGACCUGCGUGAAAGUGAACAACUCAUAUUGGGUGUCGCAGAUAAGAGUUACCUGAACUCAACAUCAUCGCUCUUCCUUGACCGCCCGUCUGAAACUUGAAGAAAUUUCACCAUUGCUUGUAGUCAUCCCGAGUCAAAUUUGCAGUUGUCUCACCACAUGUAUGACCACCAGAGCCCUGGCCUGUCUCCAUGUCCCGUGCGUACUGCACGCCUCUCCGCUAUUACCGCAUCGAGCCUCCGUUGUCCCGAUCGAGUCUCGAGGGUCGCGAACCCACACCGCUCAACCCCCACUGCAGAGUACCACCGAUCAUCACCGACCGAUGACGAGUUUCACGCUUCCAUCAGACCACUGGGCUCCAGUCCGAACCACAUGUCACUCGCUUUUUUCCCGCUGAAUAGGCUGCGAUCUCCGGAUCCUUACACUAUAGCCCCUCAAUCUAGCUCCACCUUCAACAUGACUCCAUGGUAGAUGAUCAAUCCACCCCACGCCUCGUCGACUUCAAGCUCCGUGUAUACAUCACCUUGAAUCAACCCCGCGUCAUAGUCUUGUCGAAGCCACACAAGCCCUAGAGCCCGCGCCCCGUGUUUCCACGCCCAGAAGUCGGUCACCAUCGGCAUCACGGUCUUAUGUCGUCGUCGCCGAAAUCACCGCCUCUUCUGCUUUGACCAACAUUCUCGUCGAUCCGUCAGACUGUCCAGUCAGACCCAGCCGAAAUUAACCGACUGCAACCAUGCUCCACCCUGCGUCGUGCCCUCCGCACAUCUCCAUGCAUUGCUUGACGCCCUGUGUUUACAUGAUCCUGCCAUGACGUGCUCCAGACUCCUCCUAGCCUUAUACGUACGUCGUCAUCCUUGCCACGCACCAGAGACAAUCACGCUACCAUCCUCGUACAAAAGCAUGUACAAAAGAAAUAAAAGCCAAAGUCCAGCAUAACCUUCCCGUGUGCACCUUAGUGUGAAAAUCCAUGUAAACUCCUCCAAAAACUCCACCACCACGUGCUCAUCUAGGCCUUAGGUCCAUUAGCUUUCCCUAUCUUUCCUCCGAUGGCUAGCUUCAGCCUCUUAUGUAGCCUUUUUAAUCCAACAAAUCCCAAAUGCACGAGCAAAUUUGCUUUCGGUCUUGCACCACGUCUGCACAUGCAGCCCCAUAGCAAUCACAUGCAUGCACCCAGCCUCUAGCACACCGAAGCCACCAGCAGGUCCUUUGCAAUCGAUGGUUGGUUCCAGCUGCGCGCACCGCGCCGCCUGCCCAGCCCGCACGCGGGGCCACGCCCAUCAGCAUCUCUUACCGCUUGCGCUGACCCUCUUGGGCUUUUGACCCUCUUGGGCUUUAGGCCGCUACUGCGGAAUCGUAACCGCCGCCAAGCCAAAGCCAAUCGCAUCUGUUGUUUCCGACGAUCUCGUCGAGACACCCGCAGCAGCACGUUCCGCUGCCUUCCGAUCUCGCCGAGUCCGGCCUCUAUACGUCGCUGCCACGAUCCGAUUACUUCUCGAGCAGAUAACCCAUUGAUCCUCGAUUCUUCUGUUCCAAAACUCGUCUAGAUCAACAACCACAACCUUCGAACAACCUAGCUCAUGAUACCACUUGUUAGAAUUAAUCCGAGGCACUUCGUCGAUCUACCGAGAACCAAGCAAUCACACAAAAGCACGACACCAAGAUUUGUUAACGAGGUUCACCGAUAUGGCUACAUCCCCGGGGCAAUGACUACGGGCGCUCCUCCCCAUGACACCGUCACAAUACCGCACCUCGACAGCCAGCCCGGGUGCCGGCACACGUCGUCGGCUCCCCCGCGUACCUGUGCUACUAUGUUGGCAUAGGUUACAUCAUGUGUCUACCCCCGCUAUAUAUGAGAGGCCUAGAAUAUAAGUGUCCUGUUUGGACACGAUUCCAUAUCCUAUCUAAACACAAUACAACUUAGAGUCCAACUGUAACCUACUGUGUACACAAU